CCUACGGGUGGCAGCAGUCGAGAAUCAUUCACAAUGGGGGAAACCCUGAUGGUGCGACGCCGCGUGGGGGAAUGAAGGUCUUCGGAUUGUAAACCCCUGUCAUGUGGGAGCAAAUUAAAAAGAUAGUACCCCAAGAGGAAGAGCCGGCUAACUCUGUGCCAGCAGCCGCGGUAAUACAGAGGUCUCAAGCGUUGUUCGGAAUCACUGGGCGUAAAGCGUGCGUAGGCUGUUUCGUAAGUCGUGUGUGAAAGGCGCGGGCUCAACCCGCGGACGGCACAUGAUACUGCGAGACUAGAGUAAUGGAGGGGGAACCGGAAUGCUCGGUGUAGCAGUGAAAUGCGUAGAUAUCGAGAGGAACACUCGUGGCGAAGGCGGGUUCCUGGACAUUAACUGACGCUGAGGCACGAAGGCCAGGGGAGCGAAAGGGAUUAGAUACCCUGGUAGUC
RNAcentral lists this ribosomal RNA (446 nucleotides) under uncultured bacterium. RNAcentral's name for it is "partial 16S ribosomal RNA". It matches the Rfam family "Bacterial small subunit ribosomal RNA", at positions 338 to 795 of the family's 1533-position model. The record is from RNAcentral.